UGGCUCAGAUGGUAAAGCAUCUGCCUACAAUACAGGAGACCCAGGUUCAAUCCCUGG
Molecule: transfer RNA, 57 nt
Filed under: Bos taurus (domestic cattle)
Lineage: Eukaryota; Metazoa; Chordata; Mammalia; Artiodactyla; Bovidae
Also listed under: 3 other names
Rfam family: tRNA
About the family: Transfer RNA (tRNA) molecules are approximately 80 nucleotides in length.
Source: Rfam by way of RNAcentral